UAUUCUGACAUGGGAAAAAAGAUGUUCAAGGUGAGAAAGAGGGAAAGGAGAGAACACACAGGAACACGCAGUGUACCAAGCAGAAGAAACGCAACCACUUCAGUUCCUACAGAACUUGAGGAACAUGGCAUUCAUUUCUCCUCUUAAAUUGGGAAUUUGGUCCCAGGCUGAUCUGGAGCUCAGUGUGUGGUCUGGACUGGAGUGAGAAUGGAGAUCCCACUGCCUCAGUACCCAAACUGAGAAGAGCUGGGUACUGCAGCAUGCACCUGCAAACCUGGUACUGAAGAGGCUGAGGAAGGAUAAUGAGAUAAACUGGGCCGCACAGGAGAUCCUGUCCGACAAAAGACAA
Molecule: long non-coding RNA, 349 nt
Organism: Rattus norvegicus (Norway rat)
Lineage: Eukaryota; Metazoa; Chordata; Mammalia; Rodentia; Muridae
Source: RefSeq, a predicted model, not a curated record